RNAcentral lists this ribosomal RNA (545 nucleotides) under Matoatoa brevipes. Its description in RNAcentral is "partial 12S ribosomal RNA". It matches the Rfam family "Bacterial small subunit ribosomal RNA", at positions 560 to 1381 of the family's 1533-position model. Lineage: Eukaryota; Metazoa; Chordata; Lepidosauria; Squamata; Gekkonidae. The record is from RNAcentral.
GUAAAACGUGACUAGAGAACAGUUGCACUAAAGAGGUUAGACCCACAGCACAGUUAUAAAACACACAUACACCUGGUAAUAUCAACUAGACCUCAAUCAAAAACUACCUUGACCUCACGAAAGCUAAGACACAAACUAGGAUUAGAUACCCUACUAUGCUUAGCCAUAAACCUAGAUAAUACCACAACAUAUAAUCCGCCAGAGAAUUACCAGCGAAAAGCUAAAAACUCAAAGGACUUGACGGUGUUCCAAAUCAACCUAGAGGAGCCUGUCCUAUAAUCGAUAACCCCCGAUACACCCCACCUCAUCUUGCAACCAGCCUAUAUACCGCCGUCGCCAGCUUACCUUAUGACAGCAUCCCAGCAGUAAGCAAAAUAGUGCCCCCCACUAACACGUCAGGUCAAGGUGUAGCUAAUGAUGAGGCAGAGAUGGGCUACAUUUUCUACAUACAGAAAAACACCACAAGCAGCAUGAAAAUUGCGCUCGAAGUCGGAUUUAGCAGUAAACCAGACAAGACAAGUCUAAUUGAAGCCUGCCCUGGAACG